This 482-nucleotide ribosomal RNA is filed under the name uncultured bacterium. Its description in RNAcentral is "partial 16S ribosomal RNA". It matches the Rfam family "Bacterial small subunit ribosomal RNA", at positions 30 to 507 of the family's 1533-position model. The record is from RNAcentral.
AUUGAACGCUGGCGGCAUGCCUUACACAUGCAAGUCGAACGGUAACGGGCCUUCGGGUGCCGACGAGUGGCGAACGGGUGAGUAAUACAUCGGAACGUGCCCGAUCGUGGGGGAUAACGAGGCGAAAGCUUUGCUAAUACCGCAUACGAUCUACGGAUGAAAGCAGGGGACCGCAAGGCCUUGCGCGGACGGAGCGGCCGAUGGCAGAUUAGGUAGUUGGUGGGAUAAAAGCUUACCAAGCCGACGAUCUGUAGCUGGUCUGAGAGGAUGAUCAGCCACACUGGGACUGAGACACGGCCCAGACUCCUACGGGAGGCAGCAGUGGGGAAUUUUGGACAAUGGGCGCAAGCCUGAUCCAGCCAUGCCGCGUGCAGGAUGAGGGCCUUCGGGUUGUAAACUGCUUUUGUACGGAACGAAAAGCCUUCUUUUAAUACAGGAGGGUCAUGACGGUACCGUAAGAAUAGGCACCGGCUAACUACGUG